GAGAUGUUGGGUUAAGUCCCGCAACGAGCGCAACCCUUGAUUUUAGUUGCCAGCAUUCAGUUGGGCACUCUAAGGUGACUGCCGGUGACAAACCGGAGGAAGGUGGGGANGACGUCAAAUCAUCAUGCCCCUUAUGACCUGGGCUACACACGUGCUACAAUGGACAGAACAAAGGGNUGCAAGACCGCAAGGUUUAGCCAAUCCCAUAAAUCUGUUUUCAGUUAGGAUCGCAGUCUGCAACUCGACUGCGUGAAGCUGGAAUCGCUAGUAAUCGCGGAUCAGCAUGCCGCGGUGAAUACGUUCCCGGGCCUUGUACAC
Molecule: ribosomal RNA, 318 nt
Filed under: Bacillus pumilus
Lineage: Bacteria; Bacillati; Bacillota; Bacilli; Caryophanales; Bacillaceae
Description: bacterial SSU rRNA
Rfam family: Bacterial small subunit ribosomal RNA
Source: RNAcentral